CCUACGGGAGACAGCAGUGAGGAAUAUUGGUCAAUGGACGAGAGUCUGAACCAGCCAAGUCGCGUGAAGGAUGACUGCCCUAUGGGUUGUAAACUUCUUUUAUAUGGGAAUAAAAUGUUCCACGUGUGGGAUUUUGUAUGUACCAUAUGAAUAAGGAUCGGCUAACUCCGUGCCAGCAGCCGCGGUAAUACGGAGGAUCCGAGCGUUAUCCGGAGUUAUUGGGUUUAAAGGGAGCGUAGGUGGAUUGUUAAGUCAGUUGGGAAAGUUUGCGGCUCAACCGUAAGACUGCAGUCGAAACUGGCAGUCUUGAGUACAGUAGAGGUAGGCGGAAUUCGUGGUGUAGCGGUGAAAUGCUUAGAUAUCACGAAGAACUCCGAUUGCGAAGGCAGCUCACUGGACUGCAACUGACACUGAGGCUCGAAAGUGUGGGUAUCAAACAGGAUUAGAUACCCUAGUAGUC
RNAcentral lists this ribosomal RNA (460 nucleotides) under uncultured bacterium. RNAcentral describes it as "partial 16S ribosomal RNA". It matches the Rfam family "Bacterial small subunit ribosomal RNA", at positions 338 to 795 of the family's 1533-position model. The record is from RNAcentral.